CGGCGGACGGGUGAGUAACGCGUGGGUAACCUGCCCCAUACAGGGGGAUAACAGUUGGAAACGGCUGCUAAUACCGCAUAAGCGCACAGUACCGCAUGGUACCGUGUGAAAAACUCCGGUGGUAUGAGAUGGACCCGCGUCUGAUUAGCUAGUUGGUGGGGUAACGGCCUACCAAGGCGACGAUCAGUAGCCGACCUGAGAGGGUGACCGGCCACAUUGGGACUGAGACACGGCCCAA
RNAcentral lists this ribosomal RNA (238 nucleotides) under uncultured bacterium. RNAcentral describes it as "partial 16S ribosomal RNA". It matches the Rfam family "Bacterial small subunit ribosomal RNA", at positions 96 to 334 of the family's 1533-position model. The record is from RNAcentral.